Molecule: long non-coding RNA, 796 nt
Organism: Rhinopithecus roxellana (golden snub-nosed monkey)
Lineage: Eukaryota; Metazoa; Chordata; Mammalia; Primates; Cercopithecidae
Exons: 3
Source: RefSeq, a predicted model, not a curated record
AGAAAGUGCUAGGCACGUAGGCGUUCAGGAGACAGUCACGGUACUCGUUUCCAGACAGAAGUCAUGAGGAACAGGAGGGAAGGUGCUUUCCCGUGAGCAGCGCUUGGGGGAGACUCACACAGACAGUUACAGGAUCUGGCAUGACAGGGAAAGGAGGAAAUGGCUUCUGUUAAUCUUUCCUUCAGCUUCUCCCGCCCUUCCUAUGCACCCUGUUUCCCUUUCCACUUCUCACUGUGACUCAAGGAACAAUGUGUGAAAUGAAAGACGUCAGGUGCUGUAUUGGCUCUUGACAGCUCUUCAGAAGAAAGCACCUCCUGCCUGUUCUGUUCAGUCCUGGUGCAGGUGGUCCUGGACAACACUUUGAAACAUGCUGUGGCAGAAACAAGCCAGCAAGCAUAUGGGAUUCAUCUGCUGUGAGUGAUAAUUUAUCUAGUUUCUAAAAAUAGUGUUAUAGGCUGGACUGUUUCCCCAUCCAUCCCCCACGCCAUGUGUAUAUUGACGCCCUAACCCCUAGUACCUCAGAAUAUGACUGUAUUUGGAAAUGGGGCCUAUAAAGAAGUAAUUAAGUUAAAACGAGGUCAUUAAGGUGGGCUCUAAUGCAGUAUAACUGGUGUCCUUAUAAGAAGAGAUUAGGACACAGAUGCACACAGAGGGAAGACCAUGUGAACACAGAGGGAGAAGACAGCCACCUGCAAGCCACAGAGAGAGCCCCUCAAAGAAACCAACCCUGCAGACAAUCUGAUCUCAGGCUUCUGGCCUCCAGAAUUGUGAGAAAAUCAAUUUCUGUUGUUUAGGU